This 1434-nucleotide ribosomal RNA is filed under the name Halomonas sp. X38. Its description in RNAcentral is "bacterial SSU rRNA". It matches the Rfam family "Bacterial small subunit ribosomal RNA". Lineage: Bacteria; Pseudomonadati; Pseudomonadota; Gammaproteobacteria; Oceanospirillales; Halomonadaceae. The record is from RNAcentral.
GGUGGCGGAGCUACCAUGCAGUCGAGCGGAACGAUGGAAGCUUGCUUCCAGGCGUCGAGCGGCGGACGGGUGAGUAAUGCAUAGGAAUCUGCCCGAUAGUGGGGGAUAACCUGGGGAAACCCAGGCUAAUACCGCAUACGUCCUACGGGAGAAAGCAGGGGAUCUUCGGACCUUGCGCUAUCGGAUGAGCCUAUGUCGGAUUAGCUAGUUGGUGAGGUAACGGCUCACCAAGGCCGCGAUCCGUAGCUGGUCUGAGAGGAUGAUCAGCCACAUCGGGACUGAGACACGGCCCGAACUCCUACGGGAGGCAGCAGUGGGGAAUAUUGGACAAUGGGCGAAAGCCUGAUCCAGCCAUGCCGCGUGUGUGAAGAAGGCUUUCGGGUUGUAAAGCACUUUCAGUGGGGAAGAAAUCCUCGGGGCCAAUACCCUCGAGGGAGGACAUCACCCACAGAAGAAGCACCGGCUAACUCCGUGCCAGCAGCCGCGGUAAUACGGAGGGUGCGAGCGUUAAUCGGAAUUACUGGGCGUAAAGCGCGCGUAGGCGGCGUGAUAAGCCGGUUGUGAAAGCCCCGGGCUCAACCUGGGAACGGCAUCCGGAACUGUCAGGCUAGAGUGCAGGAGAGGAAGGUAGAAUUCCCGGUGUAGCGGUGAAAUGCGUAGAGAUCGGGAGGAAUACCAGUGGCGAAGGCGGCCUUCUGGACUGACACUGACGCUGAGGUGCGAAAGCGUGGGUAGCAAACAGGAUUAGAUACCCUGGUAGUCCACGCCGUAAACGAUGUCGACUAGCCGUUGGGGUCCUUGUGACCUUUGUGGCGCAGUUAACGCGAUAAGUCGACCGCCUGGGGAGUACGGCCGCAAGGUUAAAACUCAAAUGAAUUGACGGGGGCCCGCACAAGCGGUGGAGCAUGUGGUUUAAUUCGAUGCAACGCGAAGAACCUUACCUACUCUUGACAUCGUGCGAACUUUCCAGAGAUGGAUUGGUGCCUUCGGGAACGCACAGACAGGUGCUGCAUGGCCGUCGUCAGCUCGUGUUGUGAAAUGUUGGGUUAAGUCCCGUAACGAGCGCAACCCUUGUCCCUAUUUGCCAGCGAUUCGGUCGGGAACUCUAGGGAGACUGCCGGUGACAAACCGGAGGAAGGUGGGGACGACGUCAGGUCAUCAUGGCCCUUACGAGUAGGGCUACACACGUGCUACAAUGGCCGGUACAAAGGGUUGCGAAGCCGCGAGGUGGAGCUAAUCCCGAAAAGCCGGUCUCAGUCCGGAUCGGAGUCUGCAACUCGACUCCGUGAAGUCGGAAUCGCUAGUAAUCGUGAAUCAGAAUGUCACGGUGAAUACGUUCCCGGGCCUUGUACACACCGCCCGUCACACCAUGGGAGUGGACUGCACCAGAAGUGGUUAGCCUAACUUCGGAGGGCGAUCACCACGGUGUUACGC